Non-coding RNA from Nicotiana tabacum (common tobacco), 1774 nucleotides. The record is from RefSeq and is a predicted model, not a curated record. Lineage: Eukaryota; Viridiplantae; Streptophyta; Magnoliopsida; Solanales; Solanaceae.
UCUAAAAUUUGAAUUGUGUGAAACAACUAGAUUCCACCUUCUCCUCUCUACUGAUUUUCAACUUCCACACCCAUUUCCAUUUGUGUCAUUUUUCCUUCUUCAGACCAUUCAUUUCUCUCUCUUUCUUGGUUUGGAGUUGCAAUAUUUGCUACUUCUUAUUCUCUGUGCAUGAAGAUUAUACUUCUGAGAAUCAAUUCAUGUGUAAGGAGCCUUAUGUAUAAAGAGAAAUUGUUUAAUUUUCAGAGCCAGAACAAUGAGCAGCCCAAUCAGGAGAAAGAGUUAGUUUCAAGUUUUUCCAAUUCUCAAGCCCUUGGGGUUAUUUUGGGAGAAUAUUUGGGAGCAGCGGAUGAUUGUGAAUUGGAGAUCAUGAACAGGUUUUUCCACGCAUGACCAUGAGAACCCUUGAGAUAUGCACUUGUUCAGUAUCAUUUUGAAUCAAGAAAUUAAUGAGAAGACAAUCGAUCCAGGUACCUUCCAUUUCAUUGUUUCAGGAAAUUACAUUACAUUUGUUUUAGUUACAUAGAAAUUAAAUCAUAACCGUGAAAGACAAAACAAAUUCCAAGUAUUGUUUUGAGGUGAUAACUAACAAUAUCACUUUAAAAACUAUCAAGUACAAAUUAUUUCUUAGGAGAUGUUUUUCAACAAGCAUUGCUGAGAAAUUUCUUCAGAAAAGUUUCCAAGAAACUAUUCAAAUACUAUUAAGGUUUACUGGUUAAAAGUGAUAAUCGUUAUAACUGAUAGUGCAUGACAAGAUGUUUUAAAUUCUUGAAAAGGAAGAGAGAUGAAAAUAAUAGUUUUUGGUUCCAUAUAGCUGUUCUCACGCCACGAAAUGAGCUCGAUGUUUCAACCCUGCAGGAGCAUUAUUGUAAACUUUAUCAUCUAUAAUUUUUCAAUAUUCCAUUUGGAUAACAACAGAUAAAUUUAAGGUCAAAAGAGUUCUUUAUUAUUAAUUGAUAUCAAAUUAAUACUUGCACAUCUAUUAGUAAUGUUGCAGAUCAACAAAAUAUAACAAGUUUGGUUUUUGGACAUAUUUCAGUACAUGAGCAAAAUAUAUAACCAUUGCGAAGACUUUUAUAUACAUCAUUGUGCAUGUAUAAUAGGAUAUUUUUAUCUAUAAUAUAUGCAAAAGACAGAAGUCCAAAUAUUUGAAGUUAGAUUCUUCUUUACUCAAAUAGAUUUAAUGACUUGGUAACAUGUGUAGUAAUUACUCUCCCUGUUUGGCUUAUACGGACGAAGUUGAAAAGCUAGAAGCUUUUUAUCAUAUCAAGAUUUGCCAAAACAAUAGAUAAUUUUGAUUCCGUUAUCAUUUUUCUGCAUCUUAAAUAUUGACAAGAAAAAAUCACACCAAAUUCAUCAAAUUGCUCCUUGUGAUAGCAAACCACAGCAGCUAGGAUUACAAUAUGCAACAAGCACCUAUAGUGCUCAAGAGUCCUUCAGUAAAUUUGUUCUCUUGCGAUCAACGGUUGGCAUUCAGUAAAAUCAUGAGUACAAAUGCAGAAAAGGAGAAGUCUACUCCACGGUGGAGCUUAAUUUGUUUGCUCUCUAAAGUUGUGUAAUUUUUAUACUGCAUAUACAAAUUGUACUAGCCAGGGGGAUCCACCAACUUUUUGAAAAAAUAAGUGGGAGUUGCUGAGCCAAGAAACCUUAUAAGGAAUUUUGAGAUCUUUGUAAAAAUCUGUAGGAAAGCAAGAGAGAGACACCGACUACUUUGGUCUGUGCAUUUUAAUAUGUGCAACAUGCAUAACUUCUAAAGAUUUGCUUAAGUUUUGUAAAA